RNAcentral lists this ribosomal RNA (429 nucleotides) under uncultured bacterium. RNAcentral's name for it is "bacterial SSU rRNA". It matches the Rfam family "Bacterial small subunit ribosomal RNA", at positions 28 to 434 of the family's 1533-position model. The record is from RNAcentral.
GACGAACGCUGGCGGCGUGCUUAACACAUGCAAGUCGAACGAGAAGAGAUGAGAAGCUUGCUUCUUAUCAAUUCGAGUGGCAAACGGGUGAGUAACGCGUAAGCAACCUGCCCUUCAGAUGGGGACAACAGCUGGAAACGGCUGCUAAUACCGAAUACGUUCUUUUUGUCGCAUGGCAGAGGGAAGAAAGGGAGGCUCUUCGGAGCUUUCGCUGAAGGAGGGGCUUGCGUCUGAUUAGCUAGUUGGAGGGGUAACAGGCCCACCAAGGCGACGAUCAGUAGCCGGUCUGAGAGGAUGAACGGCCACAUUGGGACUGAGACACGGCCCAGACUCCUACGGGAGGCAGCAGUGGGAAUCUUACCGCAAAUGGACGAAAGUCUGACGAGCAACGCCGCGUGAACGAUGACGGCCUUCGGGUUGUAAAGUUCU